Malaclemys terrapin pileata is the source of this 420-nucleotide long non-coding RNA. RefSeq lists it as uncharacterized. NCBI's taxonomy places the organism in Eukaryota, Metazoa, Chordata, Testudines, Emydidae. The transcript has 3 exons. The record is from RefSeq and is a predicted model, not a curated record.
GAUGAUCCCGGCAGCCUGCAAUGGCAUCGGGGCAGUGGUGGGCGCUGCUGAGCAGUUGCAGGUGAUCUUCCCCCUUUGGGGGGCCCCAGGGUGUCACCUCAUUCCGCUGCCCGGACACCCCUUGGCUCUGGCCGGAGCUGUGCAAACUCGGGCUCUUCUUGGACAAGGACCAGGCCACACUGGAGGCCCAAAUCCUGGCACAGGAGGGGGCCAGGGGCAGUUACCGCCAGUGCCUGCGCUGCCAGCACCUCGUCCAGCGCCUGGACCCCAGGAUCCUGCGCACCCCCUGCCUGCCUUGCUCCCAGCAGGCCGGGGGGCUGUACUGCUUCUGCUGGGGCUGCCGCAUGGAAUGGAGGGACCCCUCAUCCAAUGCUGACUCGUGAUGCCCCCUACAGGCCGUGCUGCAUGAUGCCCCCAAGA